ACGGGGUGCAGCAGGCGCGAAACCUUUGCAAUACACGCAAGUGUGACAGGGUCAUCCCGAGUGCCGACCGCUGAGGUUGGCUUUUACCCAGUCUAGAAAGCUGGGGGAAUAAGGAGAGGGCAAGUCUGGUGUCAGCCGCCGCGGUAAUACCAGCUCUCCGAGUGGUGUGGACGUUUAUUGGGCCUAAAGCAUCCGUAGCUGGCUGAACAAGUCCCCUGUUAAACCCACCGAUUUAAUCGUUGGCUUGCGGGGGAAACUGCUCGGCUAGGGGACGAGAGAGGCAGACGGUAUUCCCGGGGUAGGGGUGAAAUCCUAUAAUCCCGGGAAGACCACCAGUGGCGAAGGCUGUCUGCUAGAACGCGCCCGACGGUGAGGGAUGAAAGCUGGGGGAGCGAACCGGAUUAGAUACCCGGGUAGUCCCAGCUGUAAACGAUGCAGGCCAGGUGUUUGGACGGCCACGUGCCGUUCUAGUGCCGCAGGGAAGCUGUUAAGCCUGCCGCCUGGGGAGUACGAUCGCAAGAUUGAAACUUAAAGGAAUUGGCGGGGGAGCAC
This 552-nucleotide ribosomal RNA is filed under the name uncultured crenarchaeote. Its description in RNAcentral is "bacterial SSU rRNA". It matches the Rfam family "Archaeal small subunit ribosomal RNA", at positions 325 to 879 of the family's 1478-position model. The record is from RNAcentral. Lineage: Archaea; Thermoproteati; Thermoproteota.